CUAAAUGGAAAAACACUACUUUAUCUUUUGGGAUCCGGUUGCGGUUCUAGUUCUUAUACCCAAUCAUAAACACGAGAUCUAGUCAUAUUUGCCUCUAAAAACUCUAACCAAGGUUCUUAUUGCUUCUCAAAUCUUUGUGGGUGUGGCCUAAGUCCUAUGAGUUUUCUGGUUUGGAGCUUCUAAACGAAAAAACACUAUUUUAGCUUUUGGGAUCCGGUUGCGGUUCUAAUUCUUAUACCCAAUUAUAAACACUAGAUCUAGUCAUAUUUGACUCCAAAAACACUAACUAAGCUUCUUAUUGCUUCUCAAAUCUUUGUGGGUGUGGCCGAAGUCCUAUGAAUUUUCUGUUUUGGAACUUCUAAAUGGAAAAACACUACAUUAGCUUUUGGGAUACGGUUGCGGGUCUAGUUCUUAUACCCAAUCAUAAACACGAGAUCUAGCCAUAUUUGACUCCCAAAACACUAACCAAGCUUCUUAUUGCUUCUCAAAUCUUUGUGGGUGUGGCCGAAAUCCUAUUAGUUUUCUGUGUUGGAGCUUCUAAAUGGAAAAACACUACAUUAGCUUUUGGGAUACGGUUGCGGUUCAGUUCUUAUACCCAAUCAUAAACACGAGAUCUAGCCAUAUUUGACUCCAAAAACACUAACCAAGCUUCUUAUUGCUUCUCAAAUAUUUGUGGGUGUGGCCGAAGUCCUCUGAGCUUUCGGUUUUGGAGCUUUUAAACGGAGAAACACUACUUUAGCUUUUGCGAUCCGGUUGCGGUUCUAGUUAUUAUUCCCAAUCAUAAACACGAGAUCUAAUCCAUAUUUGACUCCAAAAACACUAACCAAGCUUCUUAUUGCUUCUCAAAUCUUUGUGGGUGUGGCCGAAGUCCUAUGAAUUUUCUGUAUUGGAGAUUCUAAAUGGAAAAACACUACAUUAGCUUUUGGGAUCCGGUUGCGGCUCUUGUUCUUAUAUCCAAUAAAAAACACGAGAUGUAGUCAUAUUUGACUCCAAAAACACUAACUAAGCUUCUUAUUGCUUCUCAAAUCUUUGUGGGUGUGGCCGAAGUCCUAUGAGUUUUCUGUGUUGGAGCUUCUAAACGGAAAAACACUACUUUAGCUUUUGGGAUCCGGUUGCGGUUCUAGUUCUUAUACCCAAUCAUAAACACGAGAUCUAGUCAUAUUUGACUCCAAAAACACUAACCAAGCUUCUUAUUGCUUCUCAAAUCUUUGUGGGUGUGGCCAAAGUCCUAUGAGUUUUCUGGUUUGGAGCUUCUAAAUGGAAAACACUACUUUAUCUUUUGGGAUCAGGUUGCGGUUCUAGUUCUUAUACCCAAUCAUAAACACUAGAUCUAGUCAUAUUUGACUCCAAAAACACUAACCAAGCUUUUUAUUGCCUCUCAAAUCUUUGUGGGUGUGGCCAAAGUCCUAUGAGUUUUAUGUUUUGGAGCUUCUAAAUGGAAAAACACUAUUUUAGCUUU
This 1459-nucleotide long non-coding RNA is filed under the name Arabidopsis lyrata. Its description in RNAcentral is "long non-coding RNA (ALYR_LNC002476)". The record is from RNAcentral. Lineage: Eukaryota; Viridiplantae; Streptophyta; Magnoliopsida; Brassicales; Brassicaceae.